RNAcentral lists this ribosomal RNA (456 nucleotides) under uncultured bacterium. RNAcentral describes it as "bacterial SSU rRNA". It matches the Rfam family "Bacterial small subunit ribosomal RNA", at positions 28 to 507 of the family's 1533-position model. The record is from RNAcentral.
GACGAACGCUGGCGGCGUGCUUAACACAUGCAAGUCGAACGGGAGUAUUGAAGAAGCUUGCUUUAGAGAUACUUUAGUGGCGGACGGGUGAGUAACGCGUGAGGAGCUGUCCUAUGCAGGGGGACAACAGUUGGAAACGACUGCUAAUACCCCAUAAGCCGAGAGGUAAAAGGAGCGAUCCGGCAGAGGAGGUACUCGCGUCCUAUCAGCUAGUAGGUGAGGUAACGGCUCACCUAGGCGAAGACGGGUAGCCGGCCUGAGAGGGCGAACGGCCACACUGGAACUGAGAUACGGUCCAGACUCCUACGGGAGGCAGCAGUGGGGAAUAUUGGGCAAUGGGGGCAACCCUGACCCAGCGACGCCGCGUGGGUGAAGAAAUCCCUCGGGAUGUAAAGCCCUGUUGUAUGGGAAGAGCAGAAGACGGUACCAUACGAGGAAGCCCCGGCAAACUACGUG